GAUCCUGGCUCAGAAUAAACGCUGGCUGCGUGUCUUAAGCAUGCAAGUCGGACGGCAAGCCGCCUUCGGGCGGCCUAGAGUGGCGGACUGGUGAGUAACACGUGGGUGAUAUACCUUUUGGACGGGGAUAGCCCCUAGAAAUAGGGGGUAAUACCGGAUAAGGCCGUGCGGGUUGGAGCCGCACGGGGAAAGGCGCUAUGGCGCCGCCGAAAGAAUAGCCUGCGACCUAUCAGCUUGUUGGUGAGGUGAAGG
RNAcentral lists this ribosomal RNA (252 nucleotides) under uncultured bacterium. RNAcentral describes it as "partial 16S ribosomal RNA". It matches the Rfam family "Bacterial small subunit ribosomal RNA", at positions 15 to 263 of the family's 1533-position model. The record is from RNAcentral.